RNAcentral lists this ribosomal RNA (496 nucleotides) under uncultured bacterium. RNAcentral describes it as "partial 16S ribosomal RNA". It matches the Rfam family "Bacterial small subunit ribosomal RNA", at positions 29 to 507 of the family's 1533-position model. The record is from RNAcentral.
AUGAACGCUGGCGGCGUGCCUAAUACAUGCAAGUCGAGCGAACAGACGAGGAGCUUGCUCCCCUGACGUUAGCGGCGGACGGGUGAGUAACACGUGGAUAACCUACCUAUAAGACUGGGAUAACUUCGGGAAACCGGAGCUAAUACCGGAUAAUAUAUUGAACCGCAUGGUUCAAUAGUGAAAGACGGUUUUGCUGUCACUUAUAGAUGGAUCCGCGCCGCAUUAGCUAGUUGGUAAGGUAACGGCUUACCAAGGCGACGAUGCGUAGCCGACCUGAGAGGGUGAUCGGCCACACUGGAACUGAGACACGGUCCAGACUCCUACGGGAGGCAGCAGUAGGGAAUCUUCCGCAAUGGGCGAAAGCCUGACGGAGCAACGCCGCGUGAGUGAUGAAGGUCUUCGGAUCGUAAAACUCUGUUAUUAGGGAAGAACAAAUGUGUAAGUAACUAUGCACGUCUUGACGGUACCUAAUCAGAAAGCCACGGCUAACUACGUG